This 279-nucleotide ribosomal RNA is filed under the name uncultured bacterium. RNAcentral's name for it is "partial 16S ribosomal RNA". It matches the Rfam family "Bacterial small subunit ribosomal RNA", at positions 505 to 784 of the family's 1533-position model. The record is from RNAcentral.
GUGCAGCAGCCGCGGUAAUACGGGGGGUGCAUGAGUUACUCGGAAUCACUGGGCGUAAAGAGCAUGUAGGCUGGUUUGUAAUUUGGAAGUGAAAUCCUGUGGCUUAACCAUAGAACUGCUUCCAAAACUGCAGACCUAGAAUAUGGGAGAGGUAGAUGGAAUUUCUGGUGUAGGGGUAAAAUCCGUAGAGAUCAGAAGGAAUACCGAUUGCGAAGGCGAUCUACUGGAACAUUAUUGACGCUGAGAUGCGAAAGCGUGGGGGGCAAAUGGGAUUAGAUA